Molecule: ribosomal RNA, 492 nt
Filed under: uncultured bacterium
Lineage: Bacteria
Description: partial 16S ribosomal RNA
Rfam family: Bacterial small subunit ribosomal RNA
Source: RNAcentral
AGUGAACGCUGGCGGUAGGCCUAACACAUGCAAGUCGAACGGCAGCACAGUAAGAGCUUGCUCUUACGGGUGGCGAGUGGCGGACGGGUGAGGAAUACAUCGGAAUCUACUUUUUCGUGGGGGAUAACGUAGGGAAAUUUACGCUAAUACCGCAUACGACCUACGGGUGAAAGCAGGGGAUCUUCGGACCUUGCGCGAUUGAAUGAGCCGAUGUCGGAUUAGCUAGUUGGCGGGGUAAAGGCCCACCAAGGCGACGAUCCGUAGCUGGUCUGAGAGGAUGAUCAGCCACACUGGAACUGAGACACGGUCCAGACUCCUACGGGAGGCAGCAGUGGGGAAUAGUGGACAAUGGGCGCAAGCCUGAUCCAGCCAUACCGCGUGGGUGAAGAAGGCCUUCGGGUUGUAAAGCCCUUUUGUUGGGAAAGAAAAGCAGCAGGUUAAUACCCCGCUGUUCUGACGGUACCCAAAGAAUAAGCACCGGCUAACUUCGUG